This 226-nucleotide unclassified non-coding RNA is filed under the name Glomeraceae sp. Its description in RNAcentral is "partial contains 5.8S ribosomal RNA and internal transcribed spacer 2". The stretch from base 1 to 71 matches the Rfam family "5.8S ribosomal RNA", at positions 84 to 154 of the family's 154-position model. The record is from RNAcentral. Lineage: Eukaryota; Fungi; Glomeromycota; Glomeromycetes; Glomerales; Glomeraceae.
GUGAAUCAUCGAAUCUUUGAACGCAAAUUGCACUCUCUGGUAUUCCGGAGAGUAUGCCCGUUUGAGGGUCAGUCUAAAUAAAAAUCGGUGUGGUUGCUGCCUUUCGUGGUGAUGCACCGGAUUUGGGUUGUCUUGAUUUCGGUUAUGUGACCUAAAAUUAUGCAUGAUUUUUUUCGAACGUAUUUUAAUGAUUUUUUCUACGUCUGCGAUAUUGUAUACUAGGUGU